CAAACGGUUCUUUUCAGGACCACAGAAAAUUCCUCAAGAGUUGUG
Aedes albopictus (Asian tiger mosquito) is the source of this 45-nucleotide non-coding RNA. The record is from Rfam. Lineage: Eukaryota; Metazoa; Arthropoda; Insecta; Diptera; Culicidae.